This is an RNA transcript of Spinacia oleracea (spinach), 2661 nucleotides long. RefSeq lists it as uncharacterized. Lineage: Eukaryota; Viridiplantae; Streptophyta; Magnoliopsida; Caryophyllales; Amaranthaceae. The record is from RefSeq and is a predicted model, not a curated record. The transcript has 6 exons.
UCCCCCUCCAACCUUCGUUUCUCUUUCUUCUCUCACCUUCGUAGGGUUAGACCUCCUAGGUCACACUUCCCCGCCGUCGUCCUCACCAAACCGCGUCCCUGUCGCCUCCAUCCUCAAUCGCUUCCCAUCGACGGCCUUCCAUCGCUUCCCAUCAUCGGCCUUCCAUCGCUUCCGGAAAUGAUGCAGCAACCGAGAUCGAGUAUUCAGGCCAAGUAUUCAGACCGAGAUCGAGUAUUUCCGGAAAUGAAAACCAAUUUCGACGAUGAUUACGCCUUUCAAAUCACUUCCAAGAAAUAUUGGUCGUUCAUGGCGGUUUCUGCAAAAUAAAUGUUGUGCGAAAUAAACUAAUUGGAAUUCUGGUCAUCAAUAAUCAAAUGGUAUGACAUCUUACCUAAUUUCAGUUUAAAAUCUAGCACCCACUAUUUAGAUCAACAUUUUUAGCAAAUUCUCGAUUUACAUGAUGUAUUUUUUUGUGAUGCAAAGGAAAGGUUGGUCGUUAAUGGCGGUUUAUGCAAAAUAAAUGUUGUGCAAAAUAAACUAAUUGGAAUUCUGGUGAGAUUCCAACAACUUUUAUUAAAUUUUCAUUUUUUUCGAAUUGAUUCUUGAUAUUUUGUUGAUUUGAUGUGUUUUUUCCUAUUUUUGUUUGAAUAUCUUAACAAGGUCUUCAAUAAUUAAAUGGUAUGACAUCUUACCUAAUCUCAGUUUAAAAUCUAGCACCCACUAUUUAUAUCAACGUUUUUAGCAAAUUCUCGACUUACAUGAUGUAAUUAAAAUUGUUUAUUGUCAUAUUUUUUUAAUUCCUUGGUGCAAUCCUGAUACUAUUUCUGUAAGCCUUAUUUUCUUUCCUUUUUCUUUUAAUGCGAGAUAUUAGUGGAUUGCUCCUUCCUUUCUUUCCAUAGUUUUUUUUGUUUGUUCAUCUAAGAUGGGGAGUUGGAAAUUUGGGAUAGUAUUCAAUUAUUUUGAAGAGAAAUAGGAUCAAAAUUUGGUUUCUUAGCUGCGAGAACCGCCAGUUGCCAAGAAUGAAAAGCGCAUUUCAUUGAGUUAUUUGUGUUAAGAAAUGCUUAUUUCUUUAGCCUACAGAAUAGAUUGACGAAAUUUUGAGGUCUGAUUUAUUAAGUUCAUAGGAAGACUGAAUAUUAGCAUUAUGAUUUUGUUAACAAGUAGUAUUGUCUUUUUUUAGUACUGAAUUUCGAUGGUUUUUAGAUGCGUUUCUCUCUGGUUUAACUGAAACACCUUCAACCUUGAUCCUGUGCCUGAUAAAAUGUUGAGGCCAAUUAAUCAAAUUUGUUUAAAAGUUAUAAAACGUAACACCUAUUUCCUACAUUGAUCUAAAAGUUAUCAAUUUUGACUAAUGAGUGUAAAAUGUACUAUUCUAUUUUACUUUAUCAUGUGUUGAUUCAUCAUUUCAUACUCUCUCCGUCUCUUUUGAUUUUUAGGGUUUAUGCAACUAAAUUUUGGAAUCUAUGGAUUUGGGUCAAUUCGGUGACCCGUAAAGGAAUGCUGGAUCCUUUGGAAGUCCAUCUGCUUGAUUUCCUGAACAUAGUUAUCAAAGCACGUGAGCUGCAACUUCCUUUCCAGCCUUGCUUAAAGAUUGAGAAUUUUGGUGAUCUAAUCUUAAAGGCUACGGAACCACAAAUGGGUUUCUUCAAUAUCUAUGAUGAUUGGUUGAAAAGUAUUUCUUCAUAUACUUACUUACCUGCCUGACUAACUAUUUUUAGAAUCUUUGGUAAUUGUGUGACCUACAUGGAGUGUGAUUUUGUAGUAUCUGCGAUUCUAAGAGAUAAUGAUUUUCCUUCUCUUUUCUGAAGUGGUUUGCUGUCACAUAACUUUUUUGUCUUAUUAUUUCAGUGUAGGAUUAAUUGUUCUUGGUGCAUUCAUUGCUGGUGCUCGAGAUAUGUCAUUUGAUGCUUGCGGUUAUGGAAUUGUAUUUCUAGCCAAUAUUACUAGGCUAUAUACCUUGCAACUAUUGCUCGAAUUGGAAAAUCCAAUGGCCUUAAUAGUUUUGGACUUAUGUGGUGUAAUGUAGGUAUUCUUUGCGGACCAAUAUUGCUGUUUUGGACUUAUGUGAGAGGUGACCUGGAUCUCCCCUUCAACUUUCCGUACUUGCUAUCACCUGGAUCUCACCUUCAACUUUUCGUACUUGCUAUCACCUUCAACUUUCCGUACUUGCUAUCACUCAUCUGUCUGAGCAGAGACAACAGAUUGCUGAGAUUUAGAAGCAGGUGUAUUGAUGCACUGGUUCUGGUGCUACAGGCCUGUUGUCAUUGUUCAGGCCAGUCUGCUGUUGUGUAGGCCAGUUGCUGUGCUCUACUUCUGUUUGCUCUGCUGCAAUGCUGUUGUACUCUGCUGCAGUGCUACUUUACUCUGCUGUAGAUGAAGGAAAUGCUCAACUUGAAGCUACUAAUUUUCCCAAGCUGCUUUCAAUAGGUAGCUAUUUGAUGUUCUCUAUAUGUAUUGGACUCUGGGAAUAUUUUUAUAAGCAUCUUACUUUGUGUAAAAGGUAGAGAAAUUCUUAUAUAGUUCCUCAAUGAAUGUAUAUUGUCCUUUUUCUAUCACGGUAUCACUAUAUUCUCCUGCUUUUCGUUAUGGUUGUAAUUGUAAAAUUCAGAAUUAUGUUGUUUUGUGGUUGAUUAUCAUAGAAUGGUUCUAUUAAUUCUUGAA